UGCAGGCCUGUCAAUUUGUCUACACCAACUCUCUUUAUAUCUGCAAGGGCCCAAUUCAUAAACUGCUGAAUGAGUUGGUCACUAGGUUCAACUCUUCGGAUCUGCAGGAGGCUAACAUGAAGUUACAAAAUGGGAAGCGAAGUAGGUCUCAACCAUAUAAAACAUACAUUUUGAAUUUAAGUUGCCCAAGAUCUUGGUAUGAUAUAACUUUUGAACCAUCAAAGACUUCUGUUGAAUUCAAGGAUUGGUCUCCCAUUAUUAAUUUUAUUGAAAAGGCCAUCACACACUUGUGGACUGAAAAAUUUUCUCACAGAAAUUCCUCCAGCCGCGGUACUGUUAUGUCAAAAGAAGACAAUACCUGGAGGGAAGGUGAUGAUGUUUCAUCACCAGAAAAAGGUAGGAUCUAUAUUUUAUUAUUGAAUGUCUUGCUUCUGAUAAUUCUGUAUAUAGAGUUUGAAUACCCUGAUCUAGUUGUUUCAAUAGUUACAUUCCUCAAAACUAUUUGGAGAAGAGAGAACGCAUUUCCAGAGUAACAAAAUUUCAUGAAUGAUGUUUAUAUAGCUUGCUUGUGAACUGGCAAAAAAUCUGUUUGGGUAAAUUAUACUGUUGGUCCCUCUAGGUCCAGUGAAGUUUUCACUUCGGUCCCUGUAGUUUCAAUUUCAUCAAUUUAAACCUCAUA
Molecule: non-coding RNA, 679 nt
Organism: Camellia sinensis
Lineage: Eukaryota; Viridiplantae; Streptophyta; Magnoliopsida; Ericales; Theaceae
Source: RefSeq, a predicted model, not a curated record